GUGGGUAUAACUCAGUUUGGUAGAGUGUUAGAUUGUGGCUCUAAAUGUCACGGGUUCGAAUCCCGUUACCCACC
RNAcentral lists this transfer RNA (74 nucleotides) under Colponema vietnamica. RNAcentral's name for it is "tRNA-His". It matches the Rfam family "tRNA". Rfam says of the family: Transfer RNA (tRNA) molecules are approximately 80 nucleotides in length. The record is from RNAcentral. Lineage: Eukaryota; Colponemida; Colponemidia.